Molecule: signal recognition particle RNA, 259 nt
Filed under: Trichobilharzia regenti
Lineage: Eukaryota; Metazoa; Platyhelminthes; Trematoda; Strigeidida; Schistosomatidae
Description: Metazoan signal recognition particle RNA
Rfam family: Metazoan signal recognition particle RNA
About the family: The signal recognition particle (SRP) is a universally conserved ribonucleoprotein. It is involved in the co-translational targeting of proteins to membranes.
Source: Rfam by way of RNAcentral
GUUGGGCGUGGCGGCGUAAGCCUGUAAUCUAGCUACUUGGAGGCCAAGGUACGGAAUUUUGGGGGACCGAGAGUUCUGGCCUAUGGGUGCUCAUGUUGAUCCGGCGUCUAUGCUAAGCACGGCGUCGAUAUGAAUGACCUGUCAGAGGACGGGUUGUCCAGGUAGACUAAGGAGGGGCACACUGGCACAGUGGUUAGGACUCUCGCCGACCAUGAAUAUAGUCCGGAAUUCGAUCCCCGGCGGCCGACGCACACCUGAU